This 277-nucleotide long non-coding RNA is filed under the name Dromaius novaehollandiae (emu). RNAcentral's name for it is "lncRNA (ENSDNVG00000009811.1)". The record is from RNAcentral. Lineage: Eukaryota; Metazoa; Chordata; Aves; Casuariiformes; Dromaiidae.
CAGUGCAAAAGUGUGGAAAACCAGAAAUAAGAAGAUUCUCUAUGGAAAAGGUGCUUACCUGGAAGAAAGACAACUAGGACCAUACCAGGAAGAAAAACAACUUCUGAAUUUCACAAGCCCAGGUUAUCUGAGCCUCAGAAUAGUAUGUGAAUCCUGUCACAGAUUGGUCAUUCUCAAGAAAUCACAGCUUUGCAAGUGCUGAGGGGAAAAAUGUAUUUCUUUAGUGAAGCCACAAUAUAUGAAUCAAAAAUAUAGAGGAAAUACUUUAUUGUGUAAG